Molecule: unclassified non-coding RNA, 203 nt
Filed under: Hevea brasiliensis (rubber tree)
Lineage: Eukaryota; Viridiplantae; Streptophyta; Magnoliopsida; Malpighiales; Euphorbiaceae
Source: RNAcentral
GCUAAUUUUAGAUCUGCAGCGGGAUUACAUUGUUUGUAAGGGCUCAAUAGUCUCUAGGAUCUGACUCGUAGUACUUUUACGGUUAUAAUUUCAAGUUUUCAACCAAACAAAGUGAUUUGUUAAUUUUAUUAUGGCAUUUUUCUUGGUAAUUAAUAUUGAAAAAGUAGAUUGCUCAACUGGGUAAUUGGGAAUUUGAACCUCUU